RNAcentral lists this long non-coding RNA (239 nucleotides) under Homo sapiens (human). RNAcentral's name for it is "non-protein coding lnc-CSMD1-1:8". The record is from RNAcentral. Lineage: Eukaryota; Metazoa; Chordata; Mammalia; Primates; Hominidae.
AGUUAUGACAAAAAGAUAUUAUGACUCCCAUGCAGCGGAUGAAGACAUUGAUGCCCAUGAAAGGAGAUUCACAAGCCUCCCUCCCAGAUUCAGGGAAGGAGAUGCAGCCCCCACCCCUUGACUGGAGGAGGACCAAGGUCACCUUGCAGAGCACCGUGAGAUGUGGAAGAUGCCAGAACUGUCUGUGGGAAAUGGGAUUUGUACUUGGCUUGUCUGCCUCUUGCAACCAGAGUCCUGGU